Molecule: non-coding RNA, 96 nt
Organism: Marasmius sp. AFHP31
Lineage: Eukaryota; Fungi; Basidiomycota; Agaricomycetes; Agaricales; Marasmiaceae
Source: the annotation of a GenBank genome assembly
GCAUCAAUGGGGUAGUGGUAACCUGGGUCGUUGCCACGGUUGCAGUGGAAAGUGCUCCUCUUCGACCCGCCGGGGGUUCGAUUCCCUCUUGAUGCA